Molecule: non-coding RNA, 108 nt
Organism: Oceanobacter sp.
Lineage: Bacteria; Pseudomonadati; Pseudomonadota; Gammaproteobacteria; Oceanospirillales; Oceanospirillaceae
Source: Rfam
GCCAUACCCAGGGGGAGGUUGCCGAGUGCAGCCUGAGAUUAGCUUCAAGCUUAAACCCCGGAACCUGAUCCGGUUAGUACCGGCGUAGGAAUGGGAAGGCAGUCGAUA